Molecule: ribosomal RNA, 331 nt
Filed under: uncultured bacterium
Lineage: Bacteria
Description: bacterial SSU rRNA
Rfam family: Bacterial small subunit ribosomal RNA
Source: RNAcentral
AUAUAGGAAUCUCCUGUAUUUUUAUAUUAAACAUUUAUGGCCAUUAGAUGGGGUAUGCGUCCUAUUAGCUAGUUGGUGUGGUAACGGCACACCAAGGCUACGAUAGGUAGGGGUCCUGAGAGGGAGAUCCCCACACUGGUACUGAGACACGGACCAGACUCCUACGGGAGGCAGCAGUGAGGAAUAUUGGACAAUGGGCGGGAGCCUGAUCCAGCCAUGCCGCGUGCAGGAAGACUGCCCUAUGGGUUGUAAACUGCUUUUACAGAGGAAGAACCACCCCACGUGUGGGGGUUUGACGGUACUCUGCGAAUAAGGAUCGGCUAACUCCGUG